Molecule: long non-coding RNA, 790 nt
Organism: Capsicum annuum
Lineage: Eukaryota; Viridiplantae; Streptophyta; Magnoliopsida; Solanales; Solanaceae
Exons: 3
Source: RefSeq, a predicted model, not a curated record
UUGAAUAAAUAUAGAAAAGAAACAUCUACUUAAAAGACAGUAGAAUAAACAAAUAAAGUGAAUAAUAAAAGGAUUGACAAGGCAAUUCUAAGGUAGAAACGUUUUCCUUACGUUCUGCAUACUAAAUUGUCAUUAGUUUAAUUUGUUUGUAGAAAUAACAUGAACUGCCUGGUCAUGCUUUUUUGCUACUCCAUUUAACUGUAGACAUGAAGGUCAGAGAAGUUAGUGUAGGAGUCCCAAACCAGUAUACUUUACUGGCUUUAGAUAUAGAUGCUGAAGUUUCUUUAUCAUUUCCACUGUAUACUGGUAAUGGUUAAGAUCUAUUAUGUGAUUACUUGAGAUUAUGUGCUUUCGAUGGCAAAUUUUUGCUUUAACUCUGUUUUAAUAUAACAGUACAUCAAGCAUCUUGCUUUUAAAAUGGCUAAAUCAGGAUGGAAUGUGUGUGAGCAGUCAUCGAGAGUGUCAAUAACUGAAACACAAAUGCUAGAAUCGAGGAGUAAUCAUGUUCUUAUGCUUGACAAGACUAAAAAAUGUUAAUGUAUCAGGAAACACAAACACUUUGGCUGGAAAUGUUCCAACAAAGCAUUUUGGAGAUCUAAGAGGGUUGAAUAGUUUAAACUGCAUGGGAGAGAAUUUGAUGGCGCCACAGCAAAGGCUCUCUUCCCUCCAUUUCAGAAGUACAUUACCAAAGGCUAUGCAUCUGAAGAUGCGGGAAAGUGACUUGCACAGAGUAGUCAAACUAAGCAAACUUGGACACCUUUAUCCCUAGCAUUUUUCAGGGACUGAAUCA